AGUGAACGCUGGCGGUAGGCCUAACACAUGCAAGUCGAACGGCAGCACAGUAAGAGCUUGCUCUUACGGGUGGCGAGUGGCGGACGGGUGAGGAAUACAUCGGAAUCUACUUUUUCGUGGGGGAUAACGUAGGGAAACUUACGCUAAUACCGCAUACGACCUACGGGUGAAAGCAGGGGAUCUUCGGACCUUGCGCGAUUGAAUGAGCCGAUGUCGGAUUAGCUAGUUGGCGGGGUAAAGGCCCACCAAGGCGACGAUCCGUAGCUGGUCUGAGAGGAUGAUCGGCCACACUGGAAGUGAGACACGGUCCAGACUCCUAAGGGAGGCAGCAGUGGGGAAUAUUGGACAAUGGGCGCAAGCCUGAUCCAGCCAUACCGCGUGGGUGAAGAAGGCCUUCGGGUUGUAAAGCCCUUUUGUUGGGAAAGAAAAGCAGCAGGUUAAUACCCCGCUGUUCUGACGGUACCCAAAGAAUAAGCACCGGCUAACUUCGUG
RNAcentral lists this ribosomal RNA (492 nucleotides) under uncultured bacterium. Its description in RNAcentral is "partial 16S ribosomal RNA". It matches the Rfam family "Bacterial small subunit ribosomal RNA", at positions 29 to 507 of the family's 1533-position model. The record is from RNAcentral.